CCUCCUCUCUUUAAUCACAUCAGCCCACCCACCAUAUCUCUAUCAUCAUUUGAAAUUCCUGCCAUAUGUUCAAUAAAAGUAUUUAUAAAUAAUUAUCACAUUUGAAUGUCAUCCUAGUUUAGGCUCCAUGAAACUCGUAAUAGCACAAUUAGAUAGACUAAAAAUAAGAAUAUAAAUAAUUAAAUUCCCACUGAGAUUUUACUAAGACUCGUCUUACAAUAAUAUCCACAGUUCUCAAAUAUUGAUGCAGAUAGAACAUUAGAACUGAACAAAUAUAAAACAAAAAAAAACAAUUAUAAACCACAAAAAAAGACUCAACAAACUAUAUAAUACAAAAUGUGUGACAAUUGAUACCUGCUAAGAAUUGGGUAAGGAUGCAUAUAUGAAUUCUAUUCCCUGCAAAAUUCAGUUAAUAUUUUGCUACAUAAAUGAUAUAAUAUAUGAAAUUGAACCACAAAAUUUGAAUGUUUGUAAAAAAACUCAUUUUUAUAAAGGAGUUUUCGGAAAAGGAA
Molecule: long non-coding RNA, 512 nt
Filed under: Solanum tuberosum (potato)
Lineage: Eukaryota; Viridiplantae; Streptophyta; Magnoliopsida; Solanales; Solanaceae
Description: long non-coding RNA (STUB_LNC010707)
Source: RNAcentral